Molecule: ribosomal RNA, 85 nt
Filed under: Rathayibacter sp. AY2B3
Lineage: Bacteria; Bacillati; Actinomycetota; Actinomycetes; Micrococcales; Microbacteriaceae
Description: partial 16S ribosomal RNA
Rfam family: Bacterial small subunit ribosomal RNA
Source: RNAcentral
UUUUUACGGAGAGUUUGAUCCUGGCUCAGGACGAACGCUGGCGGCGUGCUUAACACAUGCAAGUCGAACGAUGAAGCCCAGCUUG